Molecule: ribosomal RNA, 497 nt
Filed under: uncultured bacterium
Lineage: Bacteria
Description: partial 16S ribosomal RNA
Rfam family: Bacterial small subunit ribosomal RNA
Source: RNAcentral
GAUGAACGCUGGCGGCGUGCUUAACACAUGCAAGUCGAGCGGAAGGACGCGGCGCUUGCUUCUUUGACGUUAGCGGCGCACGGGUGUGAAACAUGUGUAUAACCUACUUAUCAGACUGGGAAAACCUCGGGAAACCGGAGCUUAUCCCGGAUGAUAUUCUGAACCACAUGGUUGAAAAGUGAGAGACGGUCUUGCUGUCACUUAUCGAUGGAUCCGCGCUGGAUUAGCUAGUUGGUGAGGAAACGGCGUACCAAGGCAACGAUGCGUAGCCGAACUGAGAGGGUGAUCGGCCACACUGGAACGGAGACACGGCCCAGACUCCUACGGGAGGCAGCAGGAGGGAAUCUGGCGCAAUGGGCGGAAGCCUGACGGAGCAACGCCGCGGGAUUGAGGAAGGUCUUCGGGUCGUAAAACACUGUUAUUAGGGAAGAACACAUGUGUGAGUAACAGGGCACAUCUUGACGGUACCUAAUCAAAAAGCCACGGCUAACUACGUU